Molecule: ribosomal RNA, 387 nt
Filed under: uncultured bacterium
Lineage: Bacteria
Description: bacterial SSU rRNA
Rfam family: Bacterial small subunit ribosomal RNA
Source: RNAcentral
GACGAACGCUGGCGGCGUGCUUAACACAUGCAAGUCGAGCGGUAAGGCCCUUUCGGGGGUACACGAGCGGCGAACGGGUGAGUAACACGUGGGUGACCUGCCCUCAGCUCUGGGAUAAGCCUGGGAAACUGGGUCUAAUACUGGAUAUGACUCCACGGUGCAUGUCGUGGGGUGGAAAGCCUUGUGCGGCUGAGGAUGGGCCCGCGGCCUAUCAGCUUGUUGGUGGGGGAUGGCCUACCAAGGCGACGACGGGUAGCCGGCCAGAGAGGGCGACCGGCCACACUGGGACUGAGACACGGCCCAGACUCCUACGGGAGGCAGCAGUGGGGAAUCUUGCGCAAUGGGCGAAAGCCUGACGCAGCGACGCCGCGUGAGGGAUGACGGCCU